Oncorhynchus tshawytscha (Chinook salmon) is the source of this 1971-nucleotide long non-coding RNA. Lineage: Eukaryota; Metazoa; Chordata; Actinopteri; Salmoniformes; Salmonidae. The record is from Ensembl.
CUCCAGUAUAGAGAUCUGGGUAACUGAAGCUCCAGUAUAGAGAUCUGGGUAACUGAAGCUCCAGUAUAGAGAUCUGGGUAACUGAAGCUCCAGUAUAGUUAGGAAGCCUGAUGAACCAAACCACUCAUCUAUCUGAUAUCAACACAUUUCAUCACUUUACUGCAGACUGAAUGGGAUCUUUCCAGGGUAACUUGUCAUCUAUUAAAACUCCCUGGAAUCUACUGGAUGUGACUUGUUCCGUUUCAUUCACACCAAUUGAGAUUCUGGCUCUUUAACAAUAUUUCUUAUUCUUACUAUUGAAUACAAUAACAUAGGAUUUUGUUUUAUUUAAAGAUUAAUUGUGUAUUUGGAACCAUUCAGAAAAUUUGGCAAUGCCUGUGUUAGCUUAAUUAAUUAGUGAAUCAAAAGUAUUGUGUUAUAAAAUCUAAUUGAUGUCAUCAGCAAAGAGAAUGAGAAGUACAGUAGAAGACAAAGCAGUAAGGUUAUUGAUAUAGAUUCGAAUGGAUUGGUAGAAGACACAGCAACAAGGUUAUUGAUAUAGAUUAGAAUGGAUUGGUAGAAGACACAGCAACAAGGUUAUUGAUAUAGAUUAGAAUGGAUUGGUAGAAGACACAGCAACAAGGUUAUUGAAAUAGAUUAGUAUGGAUUGGUAGAAGACACAGUAACAAGGUUAUUGAUAUAGAUUAGUAUGGAUUGGUAGAAGACAGCAACAAGGAUAUAGAUUAGUAUGGAAUGGUAGAAGACACAGUAACAAGGUAUUGAUAUAGAUUUGUAUGUUAUGGUAGAAGACACAGCAACAAGGUUAUUGAUAUAGAUUAGUAUGGUAGAAGACACAGUAACAAGGUUAUUGUUAUAGAUUAGUAUGGUAGAAGACUCAGCAGUAAGGUUAUUGAUAUAGAUUAGUAUGGUAGAAGACUCAGCAGUAAGGUUAUUGAUAUAGAGUUGAAGUCUGAAGUUUACAUACACUUAGGUUGUAGUCAUUAAAACUCAUUUUUCAACCACUCCACACAUUUCUUGUUAACAAACUAUGGUUUUGGCAAGUCGGUUAGAUCUACUUUGUGCGUGACACAGGUCAAUUUUCCAACAAUUGAUUACAGACAGAUUAUUUCACUUAUAAUUCACUGUAUCACAAUUCCAGUGGGUCAGAAGUUAACAUACACUAAGUUGACUGCCUUAAACAGCUUGUAAAAUUCCAGAAAAUGAUGUCAUGGCUUCAGAAGCUUCUGAUGGGCUAAUUGACAUAAUUUGAGUCAAUUGGAGGUGUACCUGUGGAUAUAUUUCAAGGCCUACCUUCAAACUCAGUGCCUCUUUGCUUGACAUUGGAAAAUCAACAGAAAUCAGACAAGACCUCAGAAAAAUAUUUGAGACCUUCAAAAGCCUGGUUCGUCCUUGGGAGAAAUUUCCAAACGCCUGAAGGUACCACGUUCAUCUGUACAAACAAUAGUACGCAAGUAUAAACACCAUGGGACCACGCUCCAAAACCGCCGUAAAAUAGCCAGAUUACGGUUUGCAACUGCACAUGGGGACAAAGAUGGUUCUUUUUAGAGAAAUGUCCUCUGGUCUGAUGAAACAAAAAUAGAACUGUUUGGCCAUAAUGACCAUCGUUAUGUUUGGAGGAAAAAGGGGGAGGCUUGCAAGCCAAAGAAUACCAUCCCAACUGUGAAGCACGGGGGUGGUAGCAUCAUGUUUGCUGCAGGAGGGUCUGGUGCACUUCACAAAAUAGAUGGCAUCAUGACGGAGUAAAAUGAUGUGGACAUAUUGAAGCAACAUCUCAAGACAUCAGUCAGGAAGUUAAUGCUUGGUCGCAAAUGGGUCUUCCAAAUUGACAAUGACCCCAAGCAUACUUCAGAAGUUGUGGCAAAAUGGCUUAAGGACAACAAAGUCAUUGGAGUGGCCAUCACAAAGCCCUGACCUCAACCAUAUAGAAAAGCUUUGGGCAGAACUGAGAAAGCGUGUGUGAGCAAGGAGGCC